This 988-nucleotide long non-coding RNA is filed under the name Gallus gallus (chicken). Its description in RNAcentral is "long non-coding RNA NONGGAT004879". Lineage: Eukaryota; Metazoa; Chordata; Aves; Galliformes; Phasianidae. The record is from RNAcentral.
AGGACCUGCACGGCUCUUCUUCCUGCCACUUGUGGAAGCCGUUAGCAGUCACUUCAGUCAUAUGAAAUCCACAUGUCAUUUGCACAUGAGGCUUCUAUAAGCGCUCACGCACAGCAGGAUGGCUCAGGAUGCAGAGCAGAGGGGUGAGACGAUCCUCCCAGCACUGUGGGGCUGUAUGGACCGGAGCAGCACUUCCCCGCAAGGGGAAACAUCCACAAACAAGAGCUUCCCUCGUCUCCCCCUGGUUCAUCCAUCCGUCAGUAUGGAUCCCACCAGUAAUUUGGUACAGAAUGUGGUCGGCAGCCAGCAAGCACCCUUGCUGUGUUGUUACAUUCGUGAAGAAUGAGCCCACUUGCUGUGAUGGCUCCAAUUCCUUUGGAUUUUGUUUUUCUGUCCCUUCUGUUUGCAAUCAAACUGUGGUUUUGCUGUUCGCCUGCUUUCCACGUUGCACUCCACAAACACCCCCCUGGAAACGGAGCGCCCACUGCAGCAGCAGCAGGGCUACAUUCUCACUUCCAAACAGACUCAGCAGUGGGGAACCCAAGCCAAAGGUGCCCAAAUUCCCCCUAGACAGAGCAUUCCAGCAACCUCAGCAUUGCUGAGCCGCAAUCCUCACAGCGUCCUCAUCCUCAUCCCAAAGCCCUGCAGACACAAAGCAGACACCUCUCUUGCAGCACAGCCAGACUCCCAGACCCCAAGUGCUGCUGUCCUUCCCCUGCCCUCCUCUGCUGCUUUUCUCCCAUAGCCAGCUGCAAACAUCAGUGCAAAUGCACACCUGCAGGGAAAGGCAAAAGCUCCUCCACGAAAGCAGCAAGGAGCAGAGCUGGACCAGGAUGAGAACUCGCAGUUAUACCGUGCCCGUAGCUACCUGCCAUAAAUCUGGCACAAAGCAGCUGUCGCCAGUGAUUCAUGCUGGGGAUAUAUCCAGCUCAAGGUAAGCUGCCUGCUUGGCACCGACUGUCAGCACCUUCAGCUUUUUUUCUGGGUA